RNAcentral lists this ribosomal RNA (647 nucleotides) under Scandarma lintou. RNAcentral describes it as "partial large subunit ribosomal RNA". It matches the Rfam family "Bacterial large subunit ribosomal RNA", at positions 1837 to 2776 of the family's 2925-position model. The record is from RNAcentral. Lineage: Eukaryota; Metazoa; Arthropoda; Malacostraca; Decapoda; Sesarmidae.
UUGAAGGUAUAAAAAGUUUAACCUGCCCACUGAUAAAAUUUUAAAGGGCCGCGGUAUUCUGACUGUGCAAAGGUAGCAUAAUCGUUAGUUUUUUAAUUGGAAUCUUGUAUGAAUGGUUUGACAAAAAAAAAUCUGUCUUUAUAAUUAUUUAUUGAAUUUAACUUUUAAGUGAAAAGGCUUAAAUAAAUUAAAAAGACGAUAAGACCCUAUAAAGCUUAAUAUUAAGUUUUUAUUUAAUUGAAUUUUAAAUUGUAUAAAAAUUUGGUGAAAAAUUUUUAUUUUAUUGGGGCGAUAAUGGUAAAAUGAUUAUUAACUGUUAAUUUUUUUAGACAAAAAUAAAUGAAUAAAAUAAUUUAUUGUAAAGGAUCCUUAUUAAAGAUUAUAAGUUUAAGUUACUUUAGGGAUAACAGCGUUAUUUUUUUUGAGAGUUCUUAUCGAGAAAAAAGUUUGCGACCUCGAUGUUGAAUUAAAAUAUCUAUAUAAUUGUAGCAGUUAUAUAAGAAGGUCUGUUCGACCUUUAAAAUUUUACGUGAUUUGAGUUCAGACCGGCGUAAGCCAGGUCGGUUUCUAUCUUUUAAUAUUUAAUAAUUGUUUUAGUACGAAAGGAUUAAACAAUUAAAAUUAUUUUUAAAAAUAAAUGGAUAAAA